AUGAGUAAACGCCUUUGCCCGAUCAUGUCGUGGAACGUCCGCGGCCUUAACCAGCCAGCAAAACGCGCGGCGGUCUGCGAGGUAGUCACCGCUAGCAAAGUAGCGAUUCUGUGCCUGCAGGAAACUAAGAUCGACGUCUGGACCCCAAGCAUCGUCAGAGAAAUUGGGGGCACUGCCCUGACUGAAUGUAUAGUACUUCCCGCGAUCGGCUCCCGCGGCGGAGCAGCCAUUUUCUGGAACAGCGACCUGGCCAACAUUGUCUCGCAAGCUGUAGGCGAAUUCGCGAUCACUGCGAAGGUGACGCUCAUCCAGCAAUCCGCAAGCUUCUGGCUAACGACAGUCUACGGCCCAACUGAAGACAAUAGGAAAGCUGCUUUCCUCGCUGAAUUAGCUAGAACGGCCCCCCGCCUGCUGCUCCAUGGCUCAUCAACGGCGAUUUUAAUCUCAUCUACGAGGCGAGAGACAAAAACAACAACCACCUCAACCGCAGGAUCAUGGGCAUGUUUAGACGAGCCAUCGACAGCGCCGGCUUAA
This 534-nucleotide ribosomal RNA is filed under the name Triticum aestivum (bread wheat). RNAcentral's name for it is "partial small subunit ribosomal RNA". Lineage: Eukaryota; Viridiplantae; Streptophyta; Magnoliopsida; Poales; Poaceae. The record is from RNAcentral.